RNAcentral lists this ribosomal RNA (618 nucleotides) under uncultured fungus. RNAcentral's name for it is "LSU rRNA". It matches the Rfam family "Eukaryotic large subunit ribosomal RNA", at positions 23 to 664 of the family's 3401-position model. Lineage: Eukaryota; Fungi. The record is from RNAcentral.
ACCCGCUGAACUUAAGCAUAUCAAUAAGCGGAGGAAAAGAAACCAACAGGGAUUGCCCCAGUAACGGCGAGUGAAGCGGCAACAGCUCAAAUUUGAAAUCUGGUCCCUAGGGCCCGAGUUGUAAUUUGUAGAGGAUGCUUUUGGUGAGGUGCCGCCCGAGUUCCCUGGAACGGGACGCCACAGAGGGUGAGAGCCCCGUCUGGCUGGCCGCCGAGCCUCUGUAAAGCUCCUUCGACGAGUCGAGUAGUUUGGGAAUGCUGCUCAAAAUGGGAGGUAUAUGUCUUCUAAAGCUAAAUAUUGGCCAGAGACCGAUAGCGCACAAGUAGAGUGAUCGAAAGAUGAAAAGCACCUUGAAAAGAGGGUUAAAUAGUACGUGAAAUUGUUGAAAGGGAAGCGCUUGUGACCAGACUUGGGCGCGGCGGAUCAUCCGGGGUUCUCUCCGGUGCACUUCGCCGCGUCUAGGCCAGCAUCAGUUCGUCGCGGGGGAAAAAGGCUUCGGGAACGUGGCUCCUCCGGGAGUGUUAUAGCCCGUUGCAUAAUACCCUGCGGUGGACUGAGGACCGCGCAUCUGCAAGGAUGCUGGCGUAAUGGUCGCCAGCGACCCGUCUUGAAACACGG